RNAcentral lists this ribosomal RNA (439 nucleotides) under uncultured bacterium. RNAcentral's name for it is "partial 16S ribosomal RNA". It matches the Rfam family "Bacterial small subunit ribosomal RNA", at positions 29 to 507 of the family's 1533-position model. The record is from RNAcentral.
AGCGAACGCUGGCGGCAGGCCUAACACAUGCAAGUCGAACGAACCUUUCGGGGUUAGUGGCGGACGGGUGAGUAACACGUGGGAACGUGCCUUUAGGUUCGGAAUAACUCAGGGAAACUUGUGCUAAUACCGAAUGUGCCCUUCGGGGGAAAGAUUUAUCGCCUUUAGAGCGGCCCGCGUCUGAUUAGCUAGUUGGUUGAGGUAAUGGCUCACCAAGGCGACGAUCAGUAGCUGGUCUGAGAGGAUGAUCAGCCACAUUGGGACUGAGACACGGCCCAGACUCCUACGGGAGGCAGCAGUGGGGAAUAUUGCACAAUGGGCGCAAGCCUGAUGCAGCGACGCCGCGUGAGGGAUGACGGCCUUCGGGUUGUAAACCUCUUUCAGUAGGGAAGAAGCGAAAGUGACGGUACCUGCAGAAGAAGCACCGGCUAACUACGUG